ACGGCUCAGUAAUGUUGCGAUGAUCUGCUCUAGUUGUGUAAGAUAACCGCGGAAACCUGUGGCUAAGAGACUAGAAUGAGACGCAACCCUAUCAGUUUGUUGGUAGUGUAACGGACUACCAAGACUAUGACGGGUGACGGGAAAUCAGUGUUUGAUUCCGGAGAGGGAGCCUGAGAGAUGGCUCCCACGUCCAAGGAUGGCAGCAGGCGCGAAAAUUGUCCACUCUUUGUUGAGGAGACAGUUAUGAGGCGUGAUUGUAAGAGCGAAGAGUAAACAUCUUUGUGUAAUGCAACUAGAGG
Molecule: ribosomal RNA, 299 nt
Filed under: Paranucleospora theridion
Lineage: Eukaryota; Fungi; Microsporidia; Enterocytozoonidae
Description: partial small subunit ribosomal RNA
Rfam family: Microsporidia small subunit ribosomal RNA
Source: RNAcentral